AGCCGGCGUGGCUAACAGAUGCAAGUCUAACGGAUAUAUUUAUGAAGCUUGGGAUUUAAAUACUUAGUGCCGGACGGGUGUGUAACGCGAGAGCAUCCUACCCAUAAGAGGGGGAUAACAGUUGGAAACGACUGCUAAUACCGCAUAAGCAGGCUGGUACUCAUGUACCGCUUAGUAAAGUUGGCCUCUGAAUAUGCUAUCACUUAUGGAUGGGCUCGCGUCUGAUUAGCUAGUUGGUGGCGUAACGGCCAACCAAGGCGUCGAUCAGUACCCGGCCUGAGAGGGUGGACGGCCACACUGCGACUGAGACACGGCCCAGACUCCUACGGGCGGCAGCAGUGGGGAAUAUUGCGCAUUGGGGGUUUCCCUGACGGAGCGACGCCGCGUGGGCCAAGAAGGCCUUAGGGUUGUAGAGCUCUGUUUUCAGGAAAGAACGUCGCGGGUAAUAAUUCGAUCCGCGUAUGACGGUACCUGAAGAGGGAGCCCCGGCAAACUACGUGCG
RNAcentral lists this ribosomal RNA (502 nucleotides) under uncultured bacterium. RNAcentral describes it as "bacterial SSU rRNA". It matches the Rfam family "Bacterial small subunit ribosomal RNA", at positions 38 to 509 of the family's 1533-position model. The record is from RNAcentral.